GGCGCUGUCAAAUAAGUGGUCAGGAUGAAACUACUCGCAAGUUACUUCAUAGCUGCUGCAGCUCUGGUCUUCAUGUUGUCUACUACAGCGUUCGGUCAAGUUCCUUUCCCAGUGGACCAGCCUCGUACAUCGUGCAUCGACAGCGAAGACUGUGUCCCGCUGUGCCAACUAGCGUGUCCUACUGCCGACAAAGCUCUCUGCUACACACAUCGAUGCUUCUGCAAGGCAGUGUCCAACAAGCGCGGAUUGUCGCAUAGAGAAGUUCCAUACUAAUGUUCUGAGAAUAACUUCUUUGUAUUAAAAUUUUUGAAUUGGUCUCGAUGUCAUUGGCAAUGUAUUUAGCAGAUAAAUAAAAAAUAUUUCAGUUUAA
Bicyclus anynana (squinting bush brown) is the source of this 370-nucleotide long non-coding RNA. RefSeq lists it as uncharacterized. The transcript is spliced from 2 exons. The record is from RefSeq and is a predicted model, not a curated record. NCBI's taxonomy places the organism in Eukaryota, Metazoa, Arthropoda, Insecta, Lepidoptera, Nymphalidae.